AACUCGGCUGCAUGAAGCUGGAAUCGCUAGUAAUCGCGGAUCAGAAUGCCGCGGUGAAUACGUUCCCGGGUCUUGUACACACCGCCCGUCACACCAUGGGAGUAGGUAAUGCCCGAAGUCGGUGACCUAACCGGAAGGAAGGAGCCGCCGAAGGCAGGACUUAUAACUGGGGUGAAGUCGUAACAAGGUAGC
RNAcentral lists this ribosomal RNA (192 nucleotides) under uncultured bacterium. RNAcentral's name for it is "partial 16S ribosomal RNA". It matches the Rfam family "Bacterial small subunit ribosomal RNA", at positions 1309 to 1500 of the family's 1533-position model. The record is from RNAcentral.